CCCUUAGAUGUUCUGGGCUGCACGCGUGCUACAAUGGCGUUUCCAGCAAGUCUGCGAACCCGAGAGGGCCAGCGGAUCUUCGAAUUGGCGUCGUGAUCGGGACAGUCGAUUGCAAUUAUUUGACUCAAACGAGGAAUUCCUUGUAAUCGCGAUUCAUCAUAUCGCGCUGAAUACGUCCCUGCCCUUUGUACACACCGCCCGUCGCUCCUACCGAUUGAGCGAUCCGGUAAAUGUUUUGGAUUGGUGCCGGGGCGGCUAGCUGCCGGUCGCUACGAAAUUUUGUGAACCUUAUCGCUUAGAGGAAGGAAAAGUUGUAACA
This 319-nucleotide ribosomal RNA is filed under the name uncultured eukaryote. RNAcentral describes it as "partial 18S ribosomal RNA". It matches the Rfam family "Eukaryotic small subunit ribosomal RNA", at positions 1470 to 1796 of the family's 1831-position model. The record is from RNAcentral.